CUCCACCAAAGCCGCCACCAGCACCCCCACCAAUUCCUCCUCCACCACCAGCUCCGCCCCCAAAUCCACCCCCAGCGCCUACCCCGACACCUACACCAACCCCUCCACCAAAUCCACCUCCCUUUCCACCACCAAGAAGCUUCUCCUCAGUAUCAAUAGACCUCACAUUUCUAGCAACUGCCACACUCACUACAAGAACAUGAAAACAAAUUAGCAAUGACAAAACACCAACUCUCAUUCUACCACUUUUCAUCUCUUAGUUACUCACUUCAACUUCAAGAAAAUUUAAUUAAAUAAUUCCUUGAAUAUAAAGUGUGAACCAAUUACUUAAUUGGUAAUGAAUGAUUUUUGCAUUAACAGCUAGCGCGAGGGUUUAUAUAUAUACAAGUGUGAA
This 394-nucleotide long non-coding RNA is filed under the name Panax ginseng (ginseng). RNAcentral's name for it is "long non-coding RNA (PGIN_LNC006767)". Lineage: Eukaryota; Viridiplantae; Streptophyta; Magnoliopsida; Apiales; Araliaceae. The record is from RNAcentral.